This is a long non-coding RNA of Pongo pygmaeus (Bornean orangutan), 1276 nucleotides long. RefSeq lists it as uncharacterized. The record is from RefSeq and is a predicted model, not a curated record. NCBI's taxonomy places the organism in Eukaryota, Metazoa, Chordata, Mammalia, Primates, Hominidae. The transcript is spliced from 3 exons.
GCCUUGAAGAGGGGUAGAUAUGAGGAGGCACCACUGAGGAAAAGCCUGGAACAGCUUCUUGAUCCUCCCUCCAGGAAAAAGAGACAUACAGGAAGCUGGGAAGAACUCUAGAGAUCAUAGCCGCGGCAUUCCAUCCCUGCAUGUUCAAGAUUCAGACUAUGGGUCCACGUAGCUCAUUGAAUUCUAGGCCAGGGAAUCAAAGUCUGGAAUGACCCCACACAGGUCCCUGCUCAAGUCAGAGCCCCACUGGAACAUUCUGCCUCAUGCCCACUGAUGGAGAUAUUUCAAGGGAUUGCGGUAAGCACUAAAUGAAUCCUUCUAAAGCUCUGGACAGAGGCCUGGCGAGUUGUGACGACAUGAUGAUGUCCACUCUCAGCUGGAAAUAGAAAUGGCAGGCUUGCUGUGGUUGAAGUGGGCUGGGGGGUCUUCACACGAGGCCCAGCUGCGCUUUGGCAUGGACCCAGCUACCAGCUAUGCUUGGCUGCCCUCAGCUACUCCUGUGCAGAAGUCAGUGAACGUGCACCUAUAUCGUGGCUAUGAGACACUCAGUGUGAAACUGCACAUGUGCACGGCAUCUGAAGCAGUGGAUUUGCUUGAGUGGCAGCACCCAUGUUUGUGCAACCCCGUGUUUCUUAGAUGAAAAUGGAGCAAUCCUCCUGCACGUGUGUGCUCCCAUCUAAGGGCGUAGGAUUCAGCACUGCGAGUCAUACUUUCCACUGGAAUUGCUUUCCUGGACUCUGGUGACCUUUGAUUAAUGUCCACUUGACCCUUGAACGACACAAGUUUGAACCACACCACUCACUUGCAUGUGGAUUUUCUUCCGCCUCUGCCACCCCUGAGACAAGGCCAACCCCUCCUCCUCCUCCUCUUCCUUAUGAUUUUCUAAAUGACAUUGUCUUAGCAUAUAGCACAUGUAACAUACAAAAUACAUGUUAGUCAACUGUUUGUGUUAUCAGCAAGGCUUCUGGUCAACAGUAGGCUAUGAAUAGUUGUGUUUUUGGUGAAUCAAAAGUUAUACGUGGAUUUUCAACAGCCCAGGGGGGUGGAGUUGGUACCCUUAAGGUCAAAUAUAUUAGUCAAUUAAAAUACAUUGAUUAGGCCUACUUUAUAAUCAAAACUAGACUGGCCAUUACCAGGACUGCUCUUCUGUUUUAGAUACAAUCCCGCCCUCUGGGAGAUUAAAAUGUAAGUGGAAAGAGACAUGUGUCAUGUUCAGAAAUGGUUGAAUUCAGAGUGUGUCUGUCACAAAAAACAUGAAUGUUGGAAUCAUUGACGA